Molecule: antisense RNA, 86 nt
Filed under: Chania multitudinisentens RB-25
Lineage: Bacteria; Pseudomonadati; Pseudomonadota; Gammaproteobacteria; Enterobacterales; Yersiniaceae
Description: ArsR-gov region gene B
Rfam family: ArsR-gov region gene B
About the family: arsR-gov region gene B is transcribed opposite of dinQ (translates into a toxic single transmembrane peptide) with 30 complimentary nucleotides. AgrB appears to repress accumulation of dinQ by RNA interference and counteracts its toxicity.
Source: Rfam by way of RNAcentral
UUAGAUGUGGAUUGCUUCAUUACGAUCAGAGUCACAAUUCGUAGUGGAAAAGUAAAAAAACCGACCUCACCAGUCGGUUUUUUUAC